UCUCCCUGUCUUGACCGUACGUAAACUGGCUUCUCCGGUAGCGGUAGCAGUAGCAGCAGCGAUUCACCGGCGGCGGGCGCCCAAUUUCUCAGGAAUUUCGACGUCUUUGCGGGGGGUGCCUCGUAAGUCGUCGUGCAACACCUUCAUUUGCGUGCAGACGAAGCGAGCCACGAGCCAAUGAGCCAAGCCAUACUAGUACGAUUGAGUUCACACACAGCACUACUUUGAUACGGCAUCGCGUAGAUGUAUACGUGCUAUAUAUGUGUGCCUAUCUCCUUUUGCACUGCCUAUCUUAGCAUGGCCGGCAACGUUUCUACAUUAAAAUUGUGCAGACACCGGGAUGGACUUUUCCUUGUCUGUUAUUUUACGGUAAAUUUGCGAUGGAUGGUGUACACGUUUGUUGGUGCUGGGAAUGCUGGGAGUAGAUAAACAAAGGUUGUGUUUGGAUCUAGCCACUAUAGCCAUGGUCGAAAAGCAACGAGGGGCAUGAAUGAAUGAGUGGGUAGCUCGUUU
RNAcentral lists this long non-coding RNA (513 nucleotides) under Hordeum vulgare. Its description in RNAcentral is "long non-coding RNA (HVUL_LNC021587)". The record is from RNAcentral. Lineage: Eukaryota; Viridiplantae; Streptophyta; Magnoliopsida; Poales; Poaceae.